RNAcentral lists this signal recognition particle RNA (291 nucleotides) under Fundulus heteroclitus (mummichog). RNAcentral describes it as "Metazoan signal recognition particle RNA (ENSFHEG00000015189.1)". It matches the Rfam family "Metazoan signal recognition particle RNA". Rfam says of the family: The signal recognition particle (SRP) is a universally conserved ribonucleoprotein. The record is from RNAcentral. Lineage: Eukaryota; Metazoa; Chordata; Actinopteri; Cyprinodontiformes; Fundulidae.
GCCAGGUGGCGCGUGCCUGUAAUCAAGCUAGCAGGAGGCUGGCGGACCGUUUGAGCUCAGGAGCUCUGAGCUGCUCUGGACUAUGCCGACCGGGUGUCCGCACUAAGUUCGGUACCGAUAUGGUGCUCCUGGGGGAGCCCGGGACCAGCAUGUCGUCUAAGGAGGGGAGGGGAGCACCGGCCCCGGUGGGAAACGGAGCGGGUCAAAGCCCCCAUGGCGCUCAGUAGUGGGAUGGCGCCUGUGAAUAGACGCUGCAGCGCAGCCUGAGGAACACAGCGGGACUCAGAGUUU